CCAAAGGACUUCUUAAAGUCCAUAAAAAUUCCAUUAGUCAUGUUUU
Molecule: non-coding RNA, 46 nt
Filed under: Helianthus annuus (common sunflower)
Lineage: Eukaryota; Viridiplantae; Streptophyta; Magnoliopsida; Asterales; Asteraceae
Also listed under: 1 other name
Description: sRNA HanXRQr2_Chr17g0814471
Rfam family: Histone 3' UTR stem-loop
About the family: The mRNAs of metazoan histone genes lack a poly-A tail. 3' end processing occurs at a site between a highly conserved stem-loop (modelled by this family) and a purine rich region around 20 nts downstream (the histone downstream element, or HDE).
Source: RNAcentral